CCACCUAUGAGCCAGACAUGCCAGCCACUUCCGGGAUCCGGUUGGAGCCUGCCUUAGCUCAGCUAUGCUGCCAACCGGGAGCCAACUGAGGAGGAGGAAAGGAGAUGGGAGAGUACAGAAAGUCACUAGCAAUUUGUAGGAAAGGUCAGUGUCACCUUCUGCAAGCUGCAUGAAACAGCUGAUUCCCUAUCUGCACAUCCCAUCUCUGGAGCAUGCAGCCACUAAAAAUCCAUGACCAAAGGACACACAGGCCUUGGCUUGAAGUCAAACUGGCCUUACAGAAGAACACAUCAGGUGACUGUUUUAAAGAUUACUACUCUUGGGAAGAGGUCCUUCCAAAAAUGGUGAACAGCCCUGUGGCAAACAGACGGGUAUCCCAACUAUUAGCCUUCUCGGACGUCGAACAGCUUCAUGUUUCUAGGAACACCUUUGCUAGAAAGCGUCAAAUAUAUGUGCCCUCUGGAUACUGUACACAGUUUUGAUUAGUGAACCUUUAAGAUAGCAAAAUGUCCAAGGAGCAACAUAACUAUCUUAAAUAAACUAGUAGCUAUGGUACACAU
This is a long non-coding RNA of Caretta caretta (loggerhead turtle), 560 nucleotides long. RefSeq lists it as uncharacterized. The record is from RefSeq and is a predicted model, not a curated record. NCBI's taxonomy places the organism in Eukaryota, Metazoa, Chordata, Testudines, Cheloniidae.